AACGUAGGUACCGAGCGUUAUCCGGAUUUACUGGGCGUAAAGCGCGUUCAGGCGGUUUGGCAAGUCGGGCAUGAAAUCUCUCGGCUCAACCGGGAGAGGUUGUCCGAUACUUCCAGACUUGAGGGCAGUAGAGGGUGGUGGAAUUCCGGGUGUAGUGGUGAAAUGCGUAGAUAUCCGGAGGAACACCAGUGGCGAAAGCGGCCACCUGGACAGUUACUGACGCUCAGGCACGAAAGCGUGGGGAGCAAAAGGG
RNAcentral lists this ribosomal RNA (253 nucleotides) under uncultured bacterium. RNAcentral's name for it is "partial 16S ribosomal RNA". It matches the Rfam family "Bacterial small subunit ribosomal RNA", at positions 524 to 776 of the family's 1533-position model. The record is from RNAcentral.